Rhododendron vialii is the source of this 1392-nucleotide long non-coding RNA. RefSeq lists it as uncharacterized. The record is from RefSeq and is a predicted model, not a curated record. Lineage: Eukaryota; Viridiplantae; Streptophyta; Magnoliopsida; Ericales; Ericaceae. The transcript has 2 exons.
ACACCCUAGACUCCUAAUUAUCUUAAUUAGUUUAAAUGGUAUUUUAUGAGCGUAUUAGUGUUGGAGUUAAUCUAAUUAAGUUGGAGUAUUUUGGUAUUGUAAUUAAUUACAUAUGUUAAUAAGGGUGGAUUUAUAUGACAAGGCAGGGCUUAAUAGGUGGGGAUGUGGGAAAAUCUUUAGUUGUUAGUAUGGACUCAAUCACAUAGGAUAAUUUUUCCCAAGAGUUUCUACGUUAUUCGUGUUCCCACCGCUUCCUUGUAUAUUGACGCACAGAGAGCGAGAAAGAGAGAGAAACAGAGAGAACUUGGGAAAGGGAAGAACGCAGGAAAUUGGAGGAAGAAGAAAGAAUCAAGGAAAAUUAGGGAAACAUCAAGCUUCGAUUGUUUUGGAAGUCUACACGUGGUAAAUUUAUGUUUCUUUAUUCUUGAUUCCAUGUUUUUGUUAUUUGAUCUCAAAAUUUAAUAGUUAGGAAUCAUAGAAACUCUUAUUUUGAGGUUUAGAGAUAGUUCUUGAUACUCUCUCUCAUGAUAUUCUUCAAAACCUAGGUUUGAUUUCUCCUGAAUGUUCCAAAAUCCAAUUGAACCGGUAAGUUUUGACUGGUAUUCUUGCCUUGGAGAUUAAUUUGUGAAAUUUAAGGUGGAUUUUAAGAGCUUUAGGUGAGUUCUUCGCUGGAAACGAGUUCUAUGGUUGAUUUUGCUGGAAAAUCGCUGAACCAAGACAGAUUACAGUCCCAACUUUGGAUGAGCAUAUCUUUGUCGUUCGGACUCCAAUUUAGGCAAAUUUUAUAUCGAAAUUGAUGCCCCGAAAGUCUACUUUUCAAUGGUGGUAGUCCCAACAUCUAAUUCUGAUCCUAUAAGAUUUUAUAGCCAAAAUACUACAGGCUGGUUAUAGGACUCCAUACCAUUUUGGGGUUUAGUUAGGUUUUGACUUCUCCACUCGAUUGGACUUUAAGUUUGAGCUACUACUGGGGAUGAUCUAAUGAGAGUAUUUAGAAAUUUAAAUGUAUUUCAUUGAAUCUUAAUUAUAAUUGUCUUGUAUGUUUAUGUAGGGGACUUGUGUGAAAGCUCGGAUCGAGGAAUUGACGAGUUGGAUGGCGUGACACUUGUUUUGUGGAGUCAGGUCUUAUGGUUAUUUUAUAGAUAGGAGAUGUGUUUAGAUUACCUGUUAAAUUCUGUAACCAUUGUAAGUAGCUUGCUAAACCUCAUAAUUAAGCACAGCUCUGAGAUGUGUUUUGGGUAUAUCCUUAGCCUUUGUAAGUAUAAGUUGUCGUUUUAUUAGAUUGCACAGAAUAUGCUUCCGCUAGUUACGCACUCUUGUUCCUUCUGAUUAUAUAAUUUUGAGAAGUUGAAUCUAUGAUUUGGCCUUGGUGAGGGUUUCACCGGCGCUUUGUUA